UGGGGAAUCUUGCGCAAUGCGCGAAAGCGUGACGCAGCAAUGCCGCGUGGGGGAAGAAGGCCUUCGGGUUGUAAACCUCUUUCAGUUGGGACGAAGUGUGAGCGGUGAAUAGCCGUUUCACAUGACGGUACCUUCACAAGAAGCCCCGGCUAACUACGUGCCAGCAGCCGCGGUAAUACGUAGGGGGCAAGCGUUGUCCGGAAUCAUUGGGCGUAAAGAGCGCGUAGGCGGCCCUGUAAGUCCGCUGUGAAAGUCAAGGGCUCAACCCUUGGAUGCCGGUGGAUACUGCAGGGCUAGAGUCCGGAAGAGGUGAGUGGAAUUCCUGGUGUAGCGGUGAAAUGCGCAGAUAUCAGGAGGAACACCGAUGGCGAAGGCAGCUCACUGGGACGGUACUGACGCUGAGGCGCGAAAGCGUGGGGAGCAAACAG
This 428-nucleotide ribosomal RNA is filed under the name uncultured bacterium. RNAcentral describes it as "bacterial SSU rRNA". It matches the Rfam family "Bacterial small subunit ribosomal RNA", at positions 355 to 775 of the family's 1533-position model. The record is from RNAcentral.